GUCCAAGCUGUAAACUCAUUUCCCAGGACAGAAAGGUAGACUACUCUCUUCUUCAACAAGUAGGAUGCGUUUACCAGAUCCAGAGAUUUGUGCAAGUCGUUCUGUCCACCCAGGAAGGGCAUAGACGGUGAAAAUAAAUGAAAUUGCCAAUCUUUUCAAAUCCUCUGAAAUUGCAACUCCUCUGGGAAAUUAGAAAUCUCUUCCCAGUCAUUCUUCUUGUAUUAUAUAAAUCUACGGAUGCUCUUGCAGGAAGGACUUCCCUGGGAAACAUUGGUGGAAUGUUACCUUUGCUGUAGCUUUCUGGCUUUGUCAAAAUAGGUACCUUGGAGUUUUUUUUCCAGUUUUUAUCGUCACAAGAUUUUUUAAAUGAACUAAAUGUUGGACAAUUGAGAUAAUCCCUUUUUUGGAAUUUCUUUCAUUUUGGAAUCCACAGAUACUGGCACGUUAUCAUUACUCAUCAGCAUAAGGCAACUCACAGUUGUGUGUGUUGGGCUUCUUACUCUUUUUCCACUCAACACUGUGCUUUCUGGAUCUAUCCAUGAUGCAUACAUAGUGUGUGGCUGCUGACUGCAGGAUACUGCUUCCAAGCGUGCAUUCAACCCUACACUUUCUGGAUCUAUCCAUGAUGCACACACAGUGCACACACAUAGCAAGUGGCUUCUGACUGCAGGAUAAUGUUUCCAAGCAUUCUGCACAUCCCCACUCCCAAUGAUGUCUCCAGUUCCCAGCCAGAGCACACACCACCGCGGUGAAUCCUCUUGUAUGUGUGUCUCCUAGUGGACCUGUUGUAAGAAUUUAUUUGGUUAUAUGCCCAGAGUAAAAAUUUGGGUCAUUGGCUAUUUUUAUACUUAAUUGGAUUGAACACUAUGCAUUUUUGCAUUGCUCUCAUAUGGGUCUUUCUGUGGUGUCCCAUGCAAAUACAAAUACAUAGAUAUCUGUGCUUAUAUCAAAACUAUGUUGUCUUGAUUACUAUGGCUUCUGUGUGUCUUAAUAUCUAUUGGAGCAAGUCUUCUCUCUUUUUUUUUUUUUUUUUUUUUUUUUGAGACAG
Molecule: long non-coding RNA, 1048 nt
Filed under: Homo sapiens (human)
Lineage: Eukaryota; Metazoa; Chordata; Mammalia; Primates; Hominidae
Description: HSALNT0280045
Source: RNAcentral